AUGGUCACCUCGGGCCGGGCCGUAGUGAACAUUAAUGGCGAGGUUGGCCCAUACUUUCCCACAUUCUGUGGGGUGCGCGAGGGCGAUCCCUUCUCACCAUUUCUCUUCAACAUGGUUGUCGAUGCUCUGGCAGCCAUCUUAGAUAAAUCCAAGGCCGUGGGCCAUAUUAAGGGCAUAGUCCCGCAUCUUGCUGGGGGGAACGGGAUCUCCCUUCUCCAAUAUGCGGAUCACACCAUUAUCAUGGUGGAAGGCUCAGCGAGCGAUAUCACGAACCUGAAGUUCCUCCUGCUUUGCUUCCAGCGGAUGCCCUGCCUCAGGAUCAACUUCGACAAGAGUACGGUGAUGGUCUUGGGAUACUCCCAAGACGAACGACAGAGCAUCGCAGAUCGGAUUAAUUACCAGCUCGGAUGUUUCCCCAUGACGCGUCUAGGGAUCCCCAUUAGUGACUCGAGGCUCACGGUGGCAAAGCUGCGCUCGACUGUGGGGAAGCUUGAGCACCGCAUCGAGCCCUGGCAGGGCCGGUGGCUCUCGAAAGCGGCCCAGACAGUCCCCAUUAAUUCGUCCCUCUCCAGCCUGCUCUUAUUCAUCAUGAGCUUCUACAGCCUUCCUGAGACUCUACAUCAUGAGAUUGCCACAGUUCAGGGGCGUUUCUUCUAG
Molecule: ribosomal RNA, 657 nt
Filed under: Triticum aestivum (bread wheat)
Lineage: Eukaryota; Viridiplantae; Streptophyta; Magnoliopsida; Poales; Poaceae
Description: partial small subunit ribosomal RNA
Source: RNAcentral